Molecule: ribosomal RNA, 1757 nt
Filed under: Salmonella enterica
Lineage: Bacteria; Pseudomonadati; Pseudomonadota; Gammaproteobacteria; Enterobacterales; Enterobacteriaceae
Description: partial 23S ribosomal RNA
Rfam family: Bacterial large subunit ribosomal RNA
Source: RNAcentral
UAAAGUCGAGUUGGCUUAGGGAUACGUUCGUUGGGUAGGGGAGCGUUCUGUAAGCCUGUGAAGGUGUGUCGUGAGGCAUGCUGGAGGUAUCAGAAGUGCGAAUGCUGACAUAAGUAACGAUAAAGCGGGUGAAAAGCCCGCUCGCCGGAAGACCAAGGGUUCCUGUCCAACGUUAAUCGGGGCAGGGUGAGUCGACCCCUAAGGCGAGGCCGAAAGGCGUAGUCGAUGGGAAACGGGUUAAUAUUCCCGUACUUGGUGUUACUGCGAAGGGGGGACGGAGAAGGCUAUGUUGGCCGGGCGACGGUUGUCCCGGUUUAAGCGUGUAGGUGUGUGUUCCAGGUAAAUCCGGUUCACUUUAACACUGAGGCGUGACGACGAGGCACUACGGUGCUGAAGCAACAAAUGCCCUGCUUCCAGGAAAAGCCUCUAAGCAUCAGGUAACAUCAAAUCGUACCCCAAACCGACACAGGUGGUCAGGUAGAGAAUACCAAGGCGCUUGAGAGAACUCGGGUGAAGGAACUAGGCAAAAUGGUGCCGUAACUUCGGGAGAAGGCACGCUGACACGUAGGUGAAGUGAUUUACUCAUGGAGCUGAAGUCAGUCGAAGAUACCAGCUGGCUGCAACUGUUUAUUAAAAACACAGCACUGUGCAAACACGAAAGUGGACGUAUACGGUGUGACGCCUGCCCGGUGCCGGAAGGUUAAUUGAUGGGGUCAGCGCAAGCGAAGCUCCUGAUCGAAGCCCCGGUAAACGGCGGCCGUAACUAUAACGGUCCUAAGGUAGCGAAAUUCCUUGUCGGGUAAGUUCCGACCUGCACGAAUGGCGUAAUGAUGGCCAGGCUGUCUCCACCCGAGACUCAGUGAAAUUGAACUCGCUGUGAAGAUGCAGUGUACCCGCGGCAAGACGGAAAGACCCCGUGAACCUUUACUAUAGCUUGACACUGAACAUUGAGCCUUGAUGUGUAGGAUAGGUGGGAGGCUUUGAAGUGUGGACGCCAGUCUGCAUGGAGCCGACCUUGAAAUACCACCCUUUAAUGUUUGAUGUUCUAACGUGGACCCGUAAUCCGGGUUGCGGACAGUGUCUGGUGGGUAGUUUGACUGGGGCGGUCUCCUCCUAAAGAGUAACGGAGGAGCACGAAGGUUGGCUAAUCCUGGUCGGACAUCAGGAGGUUAGUGCAAUGGCAUAAGCCAGCUUGACUGCGAGCGUGACGGCGCGAGCAGGUGCGAAAGCAGGUCAUAGUGAUCCGGUGGUUCUGAAUGGAAGGGCCAUCGCUCAACGGAUAAAAGGUACUCCGGGGAUAACAGGCUGAUACCGCCCAAGAGUUCAUAUCGACGGCGGUGUUUGGCACCUCGAUGUCGGCUCAUCACAUCCUGGGGCUGAAGUAGGUCCCAAGGGUAUGGCUGUUCGCCAUUUAAAGUGGUACGCGAGCUGGGUUUAGAACGUCGUGAGACAGUUCGGUCCCUAUCUGCCGUGGGCGCUGGAGAACUGAGGGGGGCUGCUCCUAGUACGAGAGGACCGGAGUGGACGCAUCACUGGUGUUCGGGUUGUCAUGCCAAUGGCACUGCCCGGUAGCUAAAUGCGGAAGAGAUAAGUGCUGAAAGCAUCUAAGCACGAAACUUGCCCCGAGAUGAGUUCUCCCUGAGACUUAGAGUCUCCUGAAGGAACGUUGAAGACGACGACGUUGAUAGGCCGGGUGUGUAAGCGCAGCGAUGCGUUGAGCUAACCGGUACUAAUGAACCGUGAGGCUUAACCUUACA